AACGCACCUUGCGCCCUUUGGCUAUUCCGAAGGGCAUGCCUGUUUGAGUAUCAUGAACACCUCAACCCUCAUGGUCUGUCAUGAUGAGGUUGGAUUUUGGAGGUUUUGCUGGCUUGCUGUUGGCUCCUCUCAAAUGAAUCAGCUUUCCAGUGUUUGGUGGCAUCACAGGUGUGAUAACUAUCUACGCUUGUGGGUUUCCACCAUAUAACCUUCAGCAAUGGAGGUUCGCUGGGGCUUAUAAACGUCUAUCCUUUGUGAAGACAGCUCUUUGAAUGUUUGAUCUCAAAUCAGGUAGGACUACCCGCUGAACUUAA
This 314-nucleotide unclassified non-coding RNA is filed under the name uncultured fungus. Its description in RNAcentral is "partial contains 5.8S ribosomal RNA, internal transcribed spacer 2, and large subunit ribosomal RNA". Lineage: Eukaryota; Fungi. The record is from RNAcentral.